UACAGAGGUCCCAAGCGUUGUUCGGAUUCAUUGGGCGUAAAGGGUGCGUAGGCGGCGAGGCAAGUCGGAUGUGAAAUCCCGGAGCUCAACUCUGGAACUGCAUUCGAUACUGCCUUGCUAGAGUACUGGAGAGGGAACUGGAAUUUACGGUGUAGCAGUGAAAUGCGUAGAUAUCGUAAGGAAGACCAGUGGCGAAGGCGAGUUCCUGGACAGUUACUGACGCUGAGGCACGAAGGCUAGGGGAGCAAACGGGAUUAGAAACCCCCGUAGUCC
RNAcentral lists this ribosomal RNA (273 nucleotides) under uncultured bacterium. RNAcentral describes it as "partial 16S ribosomal RNA". It matches the Rfam family "Bacterial small subunit ribosomal RNA", at positions 524 to 796 of the family's 1533-position model. The record is from RNAcentral.